RNAcentral lists this ribosomal RNA (450 nucleotides) under uncultured bacterium. RNAcentral describes it as "bacterial SSU rRNA". It matches the Rfam family "Bacterial small subunit ribosomal RNA", at positions 354 to 796 of the family's 1533-position model. The record is from RNAcentral.
GUGGGGAAUCUUGCGCAAUGCGCGAAAGCGUGACGCAGCAACGCCGCGUGGGGGAAGAAGGCCUUCGGGUUGUAAACCCCUUUCAGUUGGGACGAAGCUUCGCCGGUGAAUAGCCGGCCGGAGUGACGGUACCUUCAGAAGAAGCCCCGGCUAACUACGUGCCAGCAGCCGCGGUAAUACGUAGGGGGCAAGCGUUGUCCGGAAUCAUUGGGCGUAAAGAGCGUGUAGGCGGCUCGGUAAGUCCGCUGUGAAAGUCCAGGGCUCAACCCUGGAAUGCCGGUGGAAACUGUCGAGCUAGAGUCCGGAAGAGGCGAGUGGAAUUCCUGGUGUAGCGGUGAAAUGCGCAGAUAUCAGGAGGAACACCAAUGGCGAAGGCAGCUCGCUGGGACGGUACUGACGCUGAGACGCGAAAGCGUGGGGAGCAAACAGGAUUAGAAACCCCUGUAGUCC